GUGCUGUUUCAGCAGCACAUAGUCUAAAAUUGGAAUGAUGUUGGGACUAAUGACCCCUGCAGAGGAUGAUAUGCUAAUUUGGGAAAUGUUCUUUGUUUGG
RNAcentral lists this small nuclear RNA (100 nucleotides) under Urocitellus parryii (Arctic ground squirrel). The record is from RNAcentral. Lineage: Eukaryota; Metazoa; Chordata; Mammalia; Rodentia; Sciuridae.